RNAcentral lists this ribosomal RNA (253 nucleotides) under uncultured bacterium. Its description in RNAcentral is "partial 16S ribosomal RNA". It matches the Rfam family "Bacterial small subunit ribosomal RNA", at positions 524 to 776 of the family's 1533-position model. The record is from RNAcentral.
UACGUAGGGAGCUAGCGUUGUUCGGAAUCACUGGGCGUAAAGGGAGCGUAGGCGGAACGGCAAGUUAGGAGUUAAAGGCAUGGGCUCAACCCAUUGUACGCUUUUAAUACUGCCGUUCUUGAGUAUGGGAGAGGGUGAUGGAAUUCCUGGUGUAGCGGUGGAAUGCGUAGAUAUCAGGAAGAACACCGGUUGCGAAGGCGGUCACCUGGCCCAAUACUGACGCUGAGGCUCGAAAGCUAGGGGAGCAAACAGG